UGUUUUUCGUAUAGUGUGCAAUUUUUGUCCCUCACUGUACUAAAAUUGUUGAUAAACAAUGCAAUGGAACUCGAAAAACAAUUUCGAGUUUGCUACAAGAAAAUGAGAAAUUGGAGGUUGAAAUUGAAAAUUAAAUUGAAAUCACCUUCUUCGUUCUUCUAGGCUCCGACUUCGCCACUUCGGGCUUCUCCAGUGAAUCGAUUCUUCUUCUUUCGUUGGGCUGGCAGGCGGCGUCGUGGCAACUGACGGUUCAAGUGUAGAGCCCCUAAUCUAGGAGAUGCCGUCGCCGAUGGACUGGAACUGCAGUCUAGAAGUCGACAACUGCGAGUUGGAGUGGCUACUGGCGAGAAGCAAGCGAGGGUCGAGAGAGACGCGAUUCAAGUUUAAGCAAGGGU
Molecule: long non-coding RNA, 395 nt
Filed under: Olea europaea subsp. europaea
Lineage: Eukaryota; Viridiplantae; Streptophyta; Magnoliopsida; Lamiales; Oleaceae
Source: RNAcentral